Molecule: ribosomal RNA, 464 nt
Filed under: Vreelandella stevensii
Lineage: Bacteria; Pseudomonadati; Pseudomonadota; Gammaproteobacteria; Oceanospirillales; Halomonadaceae
Description: partial 16S ribosomal RNA
Rfam family: Bacterial small subunit ribosomal RNA
Source: RNAcentral
ACUACGGGAGGCAGCAGUGGGGAAUAUUGGACAAUGGGCGAAAGCCUGAUCCAGCCAUGCCGCGUGUGUGAAGAAGGCCUUCGGGUUGUAAAGCACUUUCAGUGGGGAAGAAAGCCUUGGGGCUAAUACCCUCGAGGAAGGACAUCACCCACAGAAGAAGCACCGGCUAACUCCGUGCCAGCAGCCGCGGUAAUACGGAGGGUGCGAGCGUUAAUCGGAAUUACUGGGCGUAAAGCGCGCGUAGGCGGUCUGAUAAGCCGGUUGUGAAAGCCCCGGGCUCAACCUGGGAACGGCAUCCGGAACUGUCAGGCUAGAGUGCAGGAGAGGAAGGUAGAAUUCCCGGUGUAGCGGUGAAAUGCGUAGAGAUCGGGAGGAAUACCAGUGGCGAAGGCGGCCUUCUGGACUGACACUGACGCUGAGGUGCGAAAGCGUGGGUAGCAAACAGGAUUAGAUACCCAGUAGUC